AGAGUUUGAUCCUGGCUCAGAGCGAACGCUGGCGGCGUGCUUAACACAUGCAAGUCGAACGUGAAAGGGAGCAAUCCUAAGUAAAGUGGCGUACGGGUGAGUAACACGUAGAUAAUCUACCCUGGAGUUUGGAAUAACCUGCCGAAAGGCGGGCUAAUACUGGAUAGAGCGAAGGAACUCGUAAGAGAGUUUUUCGGGAA
This 200-nucleotide ribosomal RNA is filed under the name uncultured bacterium. RNAcentral's name for it is "partial 16S ribosomal RNA". It matches the Rfam family "Bacterial small subunit ribosomal RNA", at positions 8 to 205 of the family's 1533-position model. The record is from RNAcentral.